AACGAACGCUGGCGGCAUGCCUAACACAUGCAAGUCGAACGAAGGCUUCGGCCUUAGUGGCGCACGGGUACGUAACGCGUGGGAACCUGCCCCUCGGUUCGGAAUAACAGUUAGAAAUGACUGCUAAUACCGGAUGAUGACUUCGGUCCAAAGAUUUAUCGCCGAGGGAUGGGCCCGCGUAGGAUUAGCUAGUUGGUGGGGUAAAGGCCUACCAAGGCGACGAUCCUUAGCUGGUCUGAGAGGAUGAUCAGCCACACUGGGACUGAGACACGGCCCAGACUCCUACGGGAGGCAGCAGUGGGGAAUAUUGGACAAUGGGCGAAAGCCUGAUCCAGCAAUGCCGCGUGAGUGAUGAAGGCCUUAGGGUUGUAAAGCUCUUUUACCAGGGAUGAUAAUGACAGUACCUGGAGAAUAAGCUCCGGCUAACUCCGUG
This 433-nucleotide ribosomal RNA is filed under the name uncultured bacterium. RNAcentral's name for it is "bacterial SSU rRNA". It matches the Rfam family "Bacterial small subunit ribosomal RNA", at positions 29 to 507 of the family's 1533-position model. The record is from RNAcentral.